RNAcentral lists this transfer RNA (76 nucleotides) under Olavius algarvensis associated proteobacterium Delta 3. RNAcentral's name for it is "tRNA-Ala-GGC". It matches the Rfam family "tRNA". From Rfam's summary of the family: Transfer RNA (tRNA) molecules are approximately 80 nucleotides in length. RNAcentral also lists the same sequence under 4 other names. The record is from RNAcentral. Lineage: Bacteria; Deltaproteobacteria.
GGGGCUGUAGCUCAGCUGGGAGAGCGCAUGACUGGCAGUCAUGAGGCCAGGGGUUCAAGUCCCCUCAGCUCCACCA